Molecule: long non-coding RNA, 709 nt
Organism: Melospiza georgiana
Lineage: Eukaryota; Metazoa; Chordata; Aves; Passeriformes; Passerellidae
Exons: 3
Source: RefSeq, a predicted model, not a curated record
CCCGGGCAGAGCCGGGCCCUGCCGGGAAGGGGACGGGAGGAUGCUCCGGAGCCUCGGCCCGAGGGAAGCUUCGCUGGCUGAGAGUAAAACCUCCAGAAGGAAGCCUGGGAGAAGCCACAGGAAUCCCGGCUGGUGUUGGAUGUUUGCCCCUGACACGUGUGACCGCAACAAUCACUUCAGCGAAAACCAGCUGGAAAAUAUCUGUUUGGAAGAUGACACUUAAAAACCCAUUUGUAAUGAAAUGGACUGGCUUCAGAUUGCCGUGGGAAAUGAGGAAUUCAGCUGGAAUUGUGAUUUCAGUGGCUGAGGGGGCUCAGCACACACCAAAGGUGAGCCAGGCCCUGGCUGUUCAUGGGAGCUCCCGGUAAAUCCUUCAGUGAAGCAAACUUAGGAAAUUGAAGAGAAACAGAAAAGCACUUUGCAGGUUUUUCCAAAGUCUGUAGCAGCCAAUAGAAAAUCAUCAUCUCUAUCUGCUUGUGAAUUGUGCAGCACAGAUGUGGCUUCAGAUUAAAUCCCAUAAAAGCAAUCGAUAAAUCUGCAGAAUCCAGUACCUGCAAUUAAAUUCUCCAGAGCUGCUCUCUAAGUACACAAAUUGGGAGCUCAGAAAGGACCUCUGCCUCUUGAUGCAUCAUUUUUUUGCUGUGAACGCUCCUCCUAAUGAAAAAUGAUGGCAAACAAAAAUAGAUUUUCUGUCAUGGGGGUAAUUGUU